RNAcentral lists this small RNA (49 nucleotides) under Vibrio cholerae O1 biovar El Tor str. N16961. The record is from RNAcentral. Lineage: Bacteria; Pseudomonadati; Pseudomonadota; Gammaproteobacteria; Vibrionales; Vibrionaceae.
UUGAACUGUCAGGCACAUCAACCAACUGCUACAGUAAAUUGAGUGCCAU